Molecule: long non-coding RNA, 1999 nt
Filed under: Ornithorhynchus anatinus (platypus)
Lineage: Eukaryota; Metazoa; Chordata; Mammalia; Monotremata; Ornithorhynchidae
Description: lncRNA (ENSOANG00000039477.1)
Source: RNAcentral
GCCAACGUUAUUAUUAUUAUUAUCUGUCCGCUGGGUGACCCGGGGUGAGUCGCUUCACUUCUCUGGGCCUCAGUUCCCUCUUCCGUAGAAUGGGGAUUAAAAGGCCGAGCCUCAUAUGGGACGGAGAGUGGGUCCGACCUGAAGAGCUCGUAUCUACCCCAGCGCUUAGUUCCGUGCCCGGCACCUAAUAAGAAGCGCUUAACACAUUUCGUGACGAAUCGUGACCACUGAUGGAUCGGUUGAAGCGUAAGCACGUCGGACGGGAUCCCCGGCCCAGCGGAGCUCACAGGCGGCCGCGACCCGGUCUCCCCAUCUCACACCCGGCCCUUUCCCGGCUACUCUGCCCCGGUUCCGCGGUCUCCCCGAGAAUCGGGGCUCCGGGCAGACCGGACCCCGAAGGUUUUAAGGGUCCGAUCCGUCCUGCCCCCGGGCCCGACUCAGACUUGUGUCUCUCCCCCGCUGCCCACCACAGUCCCGGCAGUCCAGAACAUCCGGCUGAAGCAGCCCUCGCUGAUCUCGACCUCCGAGGGCAACUCGGAGAUCCUGCCCUGCAGCUUCUCCGCCGAGCCCGAGGAGCCCCCGCUGCGGUUCCUGGGGGUCGUCUGGUGGCGGGGGCCUUCUGGGACCGGACGGCCCAUCUUCGACUCCGAAACCGACUACGUCCACCCGGAUUACCGGGGCCGGGCCUCCGUGAAGCAGGACCUCCGACGGGGGUUCGCUUCUUUAUCCAUCCGCAACCUCCGCAAGAGUGAUGAGAACGUGUUCCUCUGCGGCGUCACUGUCAUGGUGGAGGGCGAAAAGGUCACCUGGUGGAGGCAGGAAGGGACCAAUGUCACUUUUGCAGUCCCGGCGGAGGCCCAGAAUGUCCAGGUGAAGCAGUCCUUGAAGAUCUUGACCUCCGAGGGCAACUCCGCGGUCCUGCACUGUUUCGCCUCCACCCGGAAGGGGGGGCCCCCGCUGCGGGUUCUGGGGUUCUCCUGGUGGAGGGGGUCUCCCGGGACCAAAGAGCUCGUCUUCGACUCCGCAACCAACUUCACCCACCGGGAUUACCGGAACCGGGUCUCCAUGAAGAAGGACCUCAAGGAGGGGUUCAGUUCCUUCGACAUCCAAGGCCUGCGGAAGAGCGACGAGGACACGUUCUUCUGCAGGGUCAGCGUUGUGACCGAGGGCAAAGAGGUCAUCUGUUGGAGCCAGGAAGGGGCCAACAUCACUUUCGCAGAAGGCAUCCCGAGAUUCCUGAUCCAGCAGCCGAAGGCGCUGACGGCCCCCGAGGGAGGCUCGGUCACCAUCUCCUGCCUCUUCUCCCCCCCGCCGGGCCUCGGGCCCCUGAGCAACGUGAGAGUGAUCUGGAGGAGGAACCACUUCCACGGCAAAGUCAUCUUGCGGUCCUUCCCGCCCGCCACCCCCGAUCCGGACUACGAGGGCCGCGUGACCCUGGUGGGGAACCCGGUGGGCGGGAACGCGUCCAUCCGGAUCUCCGGCCUGCGGCCCCGGGACCAGACCACCUACUUCUGUGCCGUCUACGGCCGCCUCGCCCAAGGGCAGGAGGUCCAGCAGCAGAGCUCCCUGGGGACCCCCCUCACCGUGACAGCGAGGUCGAGGGGCCGGCUCAUCAGCCAGCCGAGGUCCCCGCAGGCCCUCGAUCUGCGCAAUGACAGCUGCGUCACGGAGAAGGCCCGGGAACCCGGCCUCUGCCUCAGACCCCUCUUCUCACCCUCGGAUCUGGGCCCGCUCCUCGCUCUCUCCCUGACCCUGAAGAUCGGCACCUGCGUAGCCGUGUUCCUGAGACUCCAGGGAAGGGAGAGGGCCGCCCCCGGGGGGGUCUCCGGCCCCCCGGCCCCCGUGCCAGCCACCAGGCGGGAGCCACGGGCCGCCCGGCCUCCUGGCUCCGACCGGGCCGAGCCCGCUGGGGGACCCCAACAGGUCCAGUAAAGACGCCGUCCUGCUGUCCUGGGAGUCCGCGCGUCUGUGGGGGACGAGGGAGCGGGGCCUGAAAUCC